This 224-nucleotide long non-coding RNA is filed under the name Elaeis guineensis (African oil palm). Its description in RNAcentral is "long non-coding RNA (EGUI_LNC070169)". The record is from RNAcentral. Lineage: Eukaryota; Viridiplantae; Streptophyta; Magnoliopsida; Arecales; Arecaceae.
UGGAUUGAAGGCUAGAUGUGCACUUUUGAACUAAUUUUAGAACAAGUUUCGAUUAAAUCAGAUGUAUUUUUUCCAAAUUUUUUUCCAACAUAAUCGGAGCUACAUCCCAUUUUUUAACCCAAGUCAAACUAAAGCCUAGGCCUCAACAACACAGUUGCAACCUUAAAGAGCAAUAAUGUGUGUAUGUGAAUAUAUGUUUGUGUACACAUGCGUGUGUGCGUGAG